This 253-nucleotide ribosomal RNA is filed under the name uncultured bacterium. RNAcentral's name for it is "partial 16S ribosomal RNA". It matches the Rfam family "Bacterial small subunit ribosomal RNA", at positions 524 to 776 of the family's 1533-position model. The record is from RNAcentral.
UACGUAGGGAGCGAGCGUUAUCCGGAAUUAUUGGGUGUAAAGGGUGCGUAGACGGGAAAGCAAGUUAGUUGUGAAGUCCCUCGGCUUAACUGAGGAACUGCAACUAAAACUACUUUUCUUGAGUGCAGGAGAGGUAAGUGGAAUUCCUAGUGUAGCGGUGAAAUGCGUAGAUAUUAGGAGGAACACCAGUGGCGAAGGCGACUUACUGGACUGUAACUGACGUUGAGGCACGAAAGUGUGGGGAGCAAACAGG